This is a long non-coding RNA of Gymnodraco acuticeps, 599 nucleotides long. RefSeq lists it as uncharacterized. The transcript has 2 exons. The record is from RefSeq and is a predicted model, not a curated record. NCBI's taxonomy places the organism in Eukaryota, Metazoa, Chordata, Actinopteri, Perciformes, Bathydraconidae.
CCAGAAUGAUAUCAUUUAACAACAGAAAAAGGCAGAAAUUGCAUUGGACCCGCCCCCGACGACGCCGGCCAAUAGGAGAAGACCUCCGAUGACAACAGGAAGAGCAAGCCAAGGAUUGACCUCUUUCUACCGGGUGACCUGGACUGACCGGGUGGAUGAGGAGAGCGCCUCCACUCGCACAUUUCAUUUUGUACACCACCGCAUCUUUUGUGACAAUUCUGGAGAAAUGGAUCUGCUGGAGAAGGACCCCUAAUCUGAAAAGUGCACAGCGGAUCAUCAGGACAGAGCUUCCAUCCACCUGGACCCCCCGAGGUGCUGGAGAAGGACCCCGAACCCCAAUGGAUCAUCAGGACAGAGCUCCAUCCAGCUGGACCCCCCAAGGUGCUGGAGAAAGCAAAACGGCGAUCAGGAACAUCCUCCACCCAGACCUCUGCUUACUGCCGUCCUACAGACUUGUGUCUUACUUUCAGAAUUUGAUUUUGUAUGUGUCCUUUCUUUUAAUAUCUAACAAUUAUAGCUUGAGUCUGUCUGAUUCCCCAAACAGCUGCUUCUAUAUACUUGCUGCACAUAUAAUAAAAAUAAACAACUCCAUAAACACA